UGCAGUCGAACGGCAGCACAGAGGAGCUUGCUCCUUGGGUGGCGAGUGGCGGACGGGUGAGGAAUACAUCGGAAUCUACUCUGUCGUGGGGGAUAACGUAGGGAAACUUACGCUAAUACCGCAUACGACCUACGGGUGAAAGCAGGGGAUCUUCGGACCUUGCGCUAAUAGAUGAGCCUAAGUCGGAUUAGCUAGUUGGUGGGGUAAAGGCCUACCAAGGCGACGAUCUGUAGCGGGUCUGAGAGGAUGAUCCGCCACACUGGGACUGAGACACGGCCCAGACUCCUACGGGAGGCAGCAGUGGGGAAUAUUGCACAAUGGGCGCAAGCCUGAUGCAGCCAUGCCGCGUGUAUGAAGAAGGCCUUCGGGUUGUAAAGUACUUUCAGCAGUGAGGAAGGCGGGUGUGUUAAUAGCACAUUCGUUUGACGUUAGCUGCAGAAGAAGCACCGGCUAACUCCGUGCCAGCAGCCGCGGUAAU
RNAcentral lists this ribosomal RNA (478 nucleotides) under uncultured bacterium. RNAcentral's name for it is "bacterial SSU rRNA". It matches the Rfam family "Bacterial small subunit ribosomal RNA", at positions 56 to 524 of the family's 1533-position model. The record is from RNAcentral.